AUCACAGUCACAGUGUCUUAAACUACAACACAACUACAAGAUGAGAACUUUCCUUGGACUCUUCGUGGUUCUCUUUAUAGCCGUGUGCCUGACGCCCUACUCAGACGCCUGCUGUUGUCAUCACGGCAGUCACCACAGCCACCACAGCAGGCACGGCAUCCCCAUCCCCAUCCCCUACCCCAUGGGCGGCAGCAGCGGCGGCAGCCACUCCGCCAACAUCCCCCUCAUCAUCACAACAACAGGAAAAUAGAAACAUAUGACGUGGUCAACUUCGGCGAAGGUCAAGUUAAUGGUUCCAGUCUUUUUCUUCGCCCUCCCACCUGUAUGUCAUUAUGAAUAAAAUCUUCUUGAAAAUCA
Haliotis rufescens (red abalone) is the source of this 357-nucleotide long non-coding RNA. RefSeq lists it as uncharacterized. The transcript has 3 exons. The record is from RefSeq and is a predicted model, not a curated record. NCBI's taxonomy places the organism in Eukaryota, Metazoa, Mollusca, Gastropoda, Lepetellida, Haliotidae.